GACGAACGCUGGCCGCGUGCCUAAUACAUGCAAGUAGGACGCAGUUGCGCACGGGUGAGUAACGCGUAGGUAACUACCUAUUAGAGGGGGAUCACUAUUGGAAACGAUAGCUAAUACCGCAUACUAGUAACUGGACCUGCGUUGUGUUAGCUAGUUAAUAGGGUAAUGGCCUACCUAGGCAACGAUACAUAGCCGACCUGAGAUGGUGAUAGGCAACACCGGUACUGAGACACGGCCGAGGCACCUACGGGAGGCAGCAGUAAGGAGUCGUAGGGAAUGGGGGUAACCCUGACCGGGCAACGCCGCGUGAGUGAAGAAGGUUUUCGGAUCGUAAAGCUCUGUUGUUAAGGAAACGGUACUUAACCGGAGAGGGAGGGCUAACUACGCGCCAGCAGCCGCGGUAAUUG
This 407-nucleotide ribosomal RNA is filed under the name uncultured bacterium. Its description in RNAcentral is "partial 16S ribosomal RNA". It matches the Rfam family "Bacterial small subunit ribosomal RNA", at positions 28 to 527 of the family's 1533-position model. The record is from RNAcentral.